GAUGAACGCUGGCGGCGUGCCUAAUACAUGCAAGUCGAGCGAACGGACGAGAAGCUUGCUUUUCUGAUGUUAGCGGCGGACGGGUGAGUAACACGUGGAUAACCUACCUAUAAGACUGGGAUAACUUCGGGAAACCGGAGCUAAUACCGGAUAAUAUUUUGAACCGCAUGGUUCAAAAGUGAAAGACGGUCUUGCUGUCACUUAUAGAUGGAUCCGCGCUGCAUUAGCUAGUUGGUAAGGUAACGGCUUACCAAGGCAACGAUGCGUAGCCGACCUGAGAGGGUGAUCGGCCACACUGGAAAUGAGACACGGUCCAGACUCCUAAGGGAGGCAGCAGUAGGGAAUCUUCCGCAAUGGGCGAAAGCCUGACGGAGCAACGCCGCGUGAGUGAUGAAGGUCUUCGGAUCGUAAAACUCCGUUAUUAGGGAAGAACAUAUGUGUAAGUAACUGUGCACAUCUUGACGGUACCUAAUCAGAAAGCCACGGCUAACUACGUG
This 497-nucleotide ribosomal RNA is filed under the name uncultured bacterium. RNAcentral's name for it is "partial 16S ribosomal RNA". It matches the Rfam family "Bacterial small subunit ribosomal RNA", at positions 28 to 507 of the family's 1533-position model. The record is from RNAcentral.